This 253-nucleotide ribosomal RNA is filed under the name uncultured bacterium. RNAcentral's name for it is "partial 16S ribosomal RNA". It matches the Rfam family "Bacterial small subunit ribosomal RNA", at positions 524 to 776 of the family's 1533-position model. The record is from RNAcentral.
UACAGAGGUCUCGAGCGUUAGGCGGAAUCACUGGGCUUAAAGCGUGUGUAGGUGGAUCGUUAAGUACCUUGUGAAAUCCCACGGCUUAACCGUGGAACUGCUUGGUAUACUGGCGGUCUUGAGCCAGCUAGGGGCUACCGGAACAAAUGGUGGAGCGGUGAAAUGCGUAGAUAUCGUCUGGAACGCCGAAGGUGAAAACAGCUCGCUGGGGCCGCGCUGACGCUGAGACACGAAAGCCAGGGGAGCGAACGGG